Molecule: ribosomal RNA, 497 nt
Filed under: uncultured bacterium
Lineage: Bacteria
Description: partial 16S ribosomal RNA
Rfam family: Bacterial small subunit ribosomal RNA
Source: RNAcentral
AAUGAACGCUGGCGGCAUGCCUAACACAUGCAAGUCGAACGAAAGCACGGGAAGCUUUCUCUUCUGAUUUUGGCGGCGGACGGAUGCGUCCCACGUGGAUGACCUACCUAUCCGACUGGGAUGACAUCGGGGGAUCGGAUCUUCUACCCGAUAAUAUUUUGAACCGCAUGGUUCACGCGUUAGAGUAGGUCUUUCUGUCACUAAUAGCUUACUACGCGCUGCAUGAGCUAGUUGGUAAGGUAGCGGCUUACCAAGGCUACGAUGCAUAGCCGACCUAAGCGGGUGAUCGGCCACACUGGAACUGAGAAACGGUACAGACUCCGACGGUAGGCAGCAGUAGGGAAUCUUCCGCAAUGGGCGAAUGCCUGAUGUAGCAACACCGCGUGAGUGAUGAAGGUCUUCUGAUCGUAAAACUCUGUUAGUAGGGAAGAAGAUAAGUGUAAGUAACUGUGCACAUAAUGACGGUACCUAAACAGUAAGCCACGGCUAACUACGUG